RNAcentral lists this ribosomal RNA (388 nucleotides) under Clostridioides difficile. Its description in RNAcentral is "bacterial LSU rRNA". It matches the Rfam family "Bacterial large subunit ribosomal RNA", at positions 1112 to 1505 of the family's 2925-position model. The record is from RNAcentral. Lineage: Bacteria; Bacillati; Bacillota; Clostridia; Peptostreptococcales; Peptostreptococcaceae.
GCAGCCACUCAUUCAAAGAGUGCGUAAUAGCUCACUGGUCGAGUGAUCCUGCGCCGAAGAUUUCCGGGGCUAAAACUUACUACCGAAGCUACGGCAUCAGUAAUGAUGGGUAGGGGAGCUUCCCAUAUGGGUUGAAGCAUGACCGUAAGGACAUGUGGACAGUAUGGGAGUGAGAAUGUUGGCAUGAGUAGCGAGAUGUGGGUGAGAAUCCCACAGGCCGUAAACCCAAGGUUUCCAGGGGAAGGUUCGUCCGCCCUGGGUUAGUCGGGACCUAAGCUGAGGCCGAAAGGCGUAGGUGAUGGACAACAGGUUGAUAUUCCUGUACUACCGAUAACCGUUUGAGAGAAGGGAUGACACAGUAGGAUAAGCUAAGCACACUGUUGGUUAU